GCUCUGAAGACAAGUUACAGGACAUGAGAAGAAACCCCAGGUGGCCUCCCCAUCAGCAGGUGAGCGGGUAGAGUCCUGACCAGAUGCCAGAGCAGUUUAAGAUGUCACUUCAUCCAGAGGGCAGAGGACAAGCAGGAGACCAACAGAGGCCCAGUUGGUCCAAGGAGCACUGGGGUUCUUCCAGCUCACAAAUCCUACCAGCCUAUGAUUUCGAAGUUAAAAUCUCCAGGCACUGGCUGGAAGCACCGGAAGUCAGAGGAGGAAGAGAUGUGAGUGGGUUAGAACCUCAGGGAAGGCUCUGGGGAGGAGGCGGCUCUCCACGAGGCCGUGCGGGUGCCGCGUGCUUGUUGUGCAGGAGGUGGGAGGACAUUUAUGGGCAAGAAAAUGGGGCUGAGCAGAGGCUGUUCACGGUACAGGGAGGAGGAGGCCAGCAUCGCUGGAACGCGCUGUCUCUGUCUCGGACAAACGGGAUCAGACGUGUGAGGUCGUGGUGGUGCCUGAAAACCAGAACUGACUCCGUGGGAAGACUCAGAACCAGAUGCUCCAGCACCGUUAUCCCAGGGGCCUCGCCCACACCCCCAGAGAGUUACCCAUCCAUGUUGCAGCCCAUGGGGCCACAGAAGAGCAAGCAACAACCACCACCCAUCCCCAGCUGGAUCCAUCUUUUCCAUCACCAGUCGUUACCAGGCUCCUGCCAUGUGCCAUGAACAGUCCGGGCAAUGGAGACCUGAAGACCAGUCUUUGCUCAAGGAACUCAUCACCACAUCGGUGAGACAGGCCAGGAGGCAGCUGCAGCCAAACACUAAGUAGGGAGGUGGGGGGAGAAGGCAGGUUCCAGAAACAGCAGAUGCAGGGUGGGACGGGGGGUGGGUUCACGGAAACUUACUGGGAGAAAUGACAUCUAAGCUGACAUAGGCAAAAGAGGGACAUCCCGUUUCAUUCACUAAGGGUCUGCUCGGCACAUAGUGUGGCCAGAGCAGGGCCAGGUGGGCUUCGUGAAGACGAGUCAGGAUCAUGUCCACCACUGGAGCUGGUCACCUGGCAGGGGACAUAAGAUGAAAGGAGUCAUGUGUGAGGCAUCACCCAAGGGAAAG
RNAcentral lists this long non-coding RNA (1094 nucleotides) under Bos indicus x Bos taurus (hybrid cattle). RNAcentral describes it as "lncRNA (ENSBIXG00000000031.1)". Lineage: Eukaryota; Metazoa; Chordata; Mammalia; Artiodactyla; Bovidae. The record is from RNAcentral.